RNAcentral lists this ribosomal RNA (301 nucleotides) under uncultured bacterium. Its description in RNAcentral is "partial 16S ribosomal RNA". It matches the Rfam family "Bacterial small subunit ribosomal RNA", at positions 509 to 807 of the family's 1533-position model. The record is from RNAcentral.
CAGUCGCCGCGGUAAUACGGAGGGGGCUAGCGUUGUUCGGAAUUACUGGGCGUAAAGCGCACGUAGGCGGCUAUGUAAGUUAGAGGUGAAAGCCUGGAGCUCAACUCCAGAAUUGCCUUUAAGACUGCAUCGCUUGAAUCCAGGAGAGGUGAGUGGAAUUCCGAGUGUAGAGGUGAAAUUCGUAGAUAUUCGGAAGAACACCAGUGGCGAAGGCGGCUCACUGGACUGGUAUUGACGCUGAGGUGCGAAAGCGUGGGGAGCAAACAGGAUUAGAUACCCCAGUAGUCCCUGUCUCUUAUAC